This 460-nucleotide ribosomal RNA is filed under the name uncultured bacterium. RNAcentral's name for it is "partial 16S ribosomal RNA". It matches the Rfam family "Bacterial small subunit ribosomal RNA", at positions 338 to 795 of the family's 1533-position model. The record is from RNAcentral.
CCUACGGGAGGCAGCAGUGAGGAAUAUUGGUCAAUGGACGUAAGUCUGAACCAGCCAAGUCGCGUGAGGGAUGAAGGUUCUAUGGAUUGUAAACUUCUUUUAUAUGGGAAUAAAACAUGGUAUGUGUACUCUCUUGUAUGUACCUUAUGAAUAAGGAUCGGCUAACUCCGUGCCAGCAGCCGCGGUAAUACGGAGGAUCCGAGCGUUAUCCGGAUUUAUUGGGUUUAAAGGGAGCGUAGGUGGAGUGUUAAGUCAGUGGUGAAAGUUUGUGGCUCAACCGUAAAAUUGCCGUUGAAACUGGGAGUCUUGAGUACAGUAGAGGUGGGCGGAAUUCGUGGUGUAGCGGUGAAAUGCUUAGAUAUCACGAAGAACUCCGAUUGCGAAGGCAGCUCACUAGACUGCAACUGACACUGAUGCUCGAAAGUGUGGGUAUCAAACAGGAUUAGAUACCCGAGUAGUC